GAGGGAUUCGAACCCUCGGUAAACAAAAGCCU
RNAcentral lists this transfer RNA (32 nucleotides) under Stereodon pratensis. RNAcentral describes it as "partial tRNA-Ser". Lineage: Eukaryota; Viridiplantae; Streptophyta; Bryopsida; Hypnales; Stereodontaceae. The record is from RNAcentral. RNAcentral also lists the same sequence under 1 other name.